GAUGAAGAACGUAGUGAAAUGCGAUAAGUAAUGUGAAUUGCAGAAUUCAGUGAAUCAUCGAAUCUUUGAACGCACCUUGCGCCUUUUGGUAUUCCGAAAGGCACACCUGUUUGAGCGUCAUGAAUACCUCAAUCUCCAUCUUUUCUUCGGAUUGAUGGGUGACUUGGAUGUUGAGCCCUGCUGGUAUGCUAUAUCAGCUGGCUUUAAACUUAUUAGCCGGCUCUGUACUGGAUCGGUUUGACUCGACGUGAUAAUAUUAUCGUUGAGGAUGCAUGUCUCAUGCAGCCGGAAAGUAUCAAAGCAGCUUCUAGCUUGCCUUUAGUGCACUUUUACAUUUUAGACCUCAGAUCAGGUGGGACUACCCGCUGAACUUAAGCAUAUCAAUAGCGGAGGA
This 394-nucleotide unclassified non-coding RNA is filed under the name soil metagenome. Its description in RNAcentral is "partial contains 5.8S ribosomal RNA, internal transcribed spacer 2, and large subunit ribosomal RNA". The stretch from base 1 to 120 matches the Rfam family "5.8S ribosomal RNA", at positions 35 to 154 of the family's 154-position model. The record is from RNAcentral.